RNAcentral lists this ribosomal RNA (1250 nucleotides) under Candidatus Phytoplasma trifolii. RNAcentral describes it as "bacterial SSU rRNA". It matches the Rfam family "Bacterial small subunit ribosomal RNA", at positions 147 to 1396 of the family's 1533-position model. Lineage: Bacteria; Bacillati; Mycoplasmatota; Mollicutes; Acholeplasmatales; Acholeplasmataceae. The record is from RNAcentral.
CAACCGGAAGGUUACUAAGACUGGAUAGGAAACAAAAAGGCAUCUUUUUGUUUUUAAAAGACCUUCUUACGAAGGUAUGCUUAAAGAGGGGCUUGCGCCACAUUAGUUAGUUGGUAGAGUAAAAGCCUACCAAGACGAUGAUGUGUAGCUGGACUGAGAGGUUGAACAGCCACAUUGGGACUGAGACACGGCCCAAACUCCUACGGGAGGCAGCAGUAGGGAAUUUUCGGCAAUGGAGGAAACUCUGACCGAGCAACGCCGCGUGAACGAUGAAGUAUUUCGGUAUGUAAAGUUCUUUUAUUGAAGAAGAAAAAGUAGUGGAAAAACUAUAUUGACGUUAUUCAAUGAAUAAGCCCCGGCUAACUAUGUGCCAGCAGCCGCGGUAAGACAUAGGGGGCGAGCGUUAUCCGGAAUUAUUGGGCGUAAAGGGUGCGUAGGCUGUUAGAUAAGUCUAUAAUUUAAUUUCAGUGCUUAACGCUGUCUUGUUAUAGAAACUGUCUUGACUAGAGUGAGAUAGAGGCAAGCGGAAUUCCAUGUGUAGCGGUAAAAUGUGUAAAUAUAUGGAGGAACACCAGAAGCGUAGGCGGCUUGCUGGGUCUUUACUGACGCUGAGCCCGAAAGCGUGCGUAGCAAACAGGAUUAGAUACCCUGUAGUCCCCCGCCGUAAACGAUGAGUACUAAGUGUCGGGGUAAAACUCGGUACUGAAGUUAACACAUUAAGUACUCCGCCUGAGUAGUACGUACGCAAGUAUGAAACUUAAAGGAAUUGACGGGACUCCGCACAAGCGGUGGAUCAUGUUGUUUAAUUCGAAGAUACACGAAAAAUCUUACCAGGUCUUGACAUACUCUGCAAAGCUAUAGAAAUAUAGUGGAGGUUAUCAGGGAUACAGGUGGUGCAUGGUUGUCGUCAGUUCGUGUCGUGAGAUGUUAGGUUAAGUCCUAAAACGAACGCAACCCUUGUCGUUAAUUGCCAGCACAUAAUGGUGGGGACUUUAACGAGACUGCCAAUUAAACAUUGGAGGAAGGUGAGGAUUACGUCAAAUCAUCAUGCCCCUUAUGAUCUGGGCUACAAACGUGAUACAAUGGCUGUGACAAAGAGUAGCUGAAACGCGAGUUUUUAGCCAAUCUCAAAAAAGCAGUCUCAGUUCGGAUUGAAGUCUGUAACUCGACUUCAUGAAGUUGGAAUCGCUAGUAAUCGCGAAUCAGCAUGUCGCGGUGAAUACGUUCUCGGGGUUUGUACACACCGCCCG